CCCUUAGGUGUUCUGGGCCGCACACGCGCUACACUGAAGGAGGCAGCGUGUACUCCUGGAUCGAAAGAUUUGGGUAACCCGCGAAUCUCCUUCGUGCUAGGGAUUGAGGUUUGCAAUUAUCCUUCAUGAACGAGGAAUUCCCAGUAAGUGCAAGUCAUAAGCUUGCGCUGACUACGUCCCUGCCCUUUGUACACACCGCCCGUCGCUACUACCGAUUGAAUGAUUUAGUGAGGACUUCGGACUGGGACCGAUGCGGCUUUCGGGCUGCGUCGGUAUUCUGGAAAGAUGUCCAAACUGUAUCAUUUAGAGGAAGUAAAANUCGUANCA
This 327-nucleotide ribosomal RNA is filed under the name uncultured eukaryote. RNAcentral's name for it is "partial 18S ribosomal RNA". It matches the Rfam family "Eukaryotic small subunit ribosomal RNA", at positions 1470 to 1796 of the family's 1831-position model. The record is from RNAcentral.